AAGUCUGGAGAAAGCAGCCUGCAGCAGCAGUCAUCAGCAACAGCAGCAGCAGCAGCACCUGUGAUGUUGUUUUGAGAGUGUUGUGAGCUGCACCACAAGGUGCUUGACGAACUGCCCCGCUAGGCAUACUCCCAGUCAUUGGUGGUGGUGCUUGUGCCCGUUUUGAUCGGAUUGGAAAAUAAACAAACAAACAAAAAAAAAAAACAACGGAUGAAGUGGAGCGGUGAGGGUGCGCAUCUUCAUUGUCGCCGGGAAGACGGAGAUCACUGGGUGAUGUAGCUUUGACGGGAAGAAAUUUGAAAGGUUCGGAUUGCUUGGAUGGAAUUGUGAUGCAUCGCAGUAAAUAGUUUGUCAACUUGUUCACGUGAAACAGAACAACUAUCGGUUGAUGAAAAAAGCUGUAAUUCUAUAUUUCAUCACUGCCAAAGAAGAUAUCCAGAAAAAUGGACGCAGGAGUCACGUUCCUCCCUCCAAUUAAAAACAAGUGUUUCAAUGCUGUGGACACUCCAAAACACUGCGUAAACCUCCAGUUCCACUUUUCCGCCUUACAAUUACUCGUUAGGCCUAAACUUAUCCCAGUUUCCACCCACGUUACAAAUUCGUAACCAAACCAAACCAUCCCAGAUUAGCAGCUCGCGUUUGAGUACGGAAUUACAGUGGCCUCUAACCGCAUUUUCCACACUUUACUACAAUAUUUUGAUCCGCUCGAAGCCAUCCCGCUCUGCGACACCCAACCCGUCAUCUACUACUGCUACUAUCACGCUCACCUAUCCCCGACGACGAUGACGACGACGAAGUCGGCGAGUUAGCAUGGGAAUGCAUCGUCCACAAACCGGGGGUUUGUGGUGUAACCUGUUUUUUUUCUUCUCGCCGUCGCUGUUUUUCCAGAUCGGGAAAGUGCAAAAUUAGCACAUCGCAACAGAAAACAAAGCCACGAACGGCUACUGUUACACACAUCUGCCACAUUUGCGCUUGCUACCUUCUUCACACGUGUGCCUCUGGCGAUGGUAUAGGAAUAAUCGGGAGAUCUUUGCUGGACGCGGUAGGGUCCUACUACUCCCGCCAGAACAGGUUCCUUUCAACAGCACGCAAACGAUGGUCCCAUUCAGUCAGAUCACACACACAGACGUUGACCACCGCAGUUGGAGAGCAAGUGGCAUCACUCGCUGGUUCCGAGCGACGGAUGCUCUAGAUUUCGCUCUGCGAGCUGCUGCUGCUGCUUGGUUAAGCGGCUUAACUUAACAGCUGCCUUGACCCGAAUACCGACCGGAUUAGCGUUAUCCCGAGUUGUUUCGUUGCGCGAUAAACCGCGAGCGGAACGAGGUCAAUCGGUUUGACUUGUAGGAGGUAUUAACUUUCUAUUGGAAGAAAGGUAUAGAAAUUGUUUCAAUUUUAUGAAUGUUUUCAUCUUAGCUAAAUAGUAAUCCAGUAUUUUUUCAGAAAAGCUCACCGAACGAAGAACAUCAAUGGAGCUGAGGUUGUCAGCAACGUUGAAGCAAUGAUCUGUUAGCAUUCCUGAUUUCUAGACUGUAGUGAGUAAUUCUGGGAAGUAGACUGAAGCAGAUUCAUUGAACUUAUAGGAAGUGGCAAUAUUUUAAUUUAAGAUACCGAAGUCAAAAGAUUUAAUCCGUCUCUAUAGUCUAUAGUCUCUUUCGGAACUUAUUAAAAUAAAAAUAUUUGGGACCAAUU
Molecule: long non-coding RNA, 1689 nt
Organism: Topomyia yanbarensis
Lineage: Eukaryota; Metazoa; Arthropoda; Insecta; Diptera; Culicidae
Exons: 4
Source: RefSeq, a predicted model, not a curated record